This 253-nucleotide ribosomal RNA is filed under the name uncultured bacterium. RNAcentral's name for it is "partial 16S ribosomal RNA". It matches the Rfam family "Bacterial small subunit ribosomal RNA", at positions 524 to 776 of the family's 1533-position model. The record is from RNAcentral.
UACGGAGGAUCCAAGCGUUAUCCGGAAUCAUUGGGUUUAAAGGGUCCGUAGGCGGUCAGGUAAGUCAGUGGUGAAAGCCCAUCGCUCAACGGUGGAACGGCCAUUGAUACUGCUUGACUUGAAUUAUUAGGAAGUAACUAGAAUAUGUAGUGUAGCGGUGAAAUGCUUAGAGAUUACAUGGAAUACCAAUUGCGAAGGCAGGUUACUACUAAUGGAUUGACGCUGAUGGACGAAAGCGUGGGUAGCGAACAGG